GCGGCGUGCCUAAUACAUGCAAGUCGAGCGGAUCUUUGGGAGCUUGCUCCCAAAGGUUAGCGGCGGACGGGUGAGUAACACGUGGGCAACCUGCCUGUAAGACUGGGAUAACACCGGGAAACCGGUGCUAAUACCGGAUAAUCCUUUUCCUCUCAUGAGGAGAAGCUGAAAGACGGCGUAAGCUGUCACUUACAGAUGGGCCCGCGGCGCAUUAGCUAGUUGGUGAGGUAACGGCUCACCAAGGCGACGAUGCGUAGCCGACCUGAGAGGGUGAUCGGCCACACUGGGACUGAGACACGGCCCAGACUCCUACGGGAGGCAGCAGUAGGGAAUCUUCCGCAAUGGACGAAAGUCUGACGGAGCAACGCCGCGUGAGCGAAGAAGGCCUUCGGGUCGUAAAGCUCUGUUGUUAGGGAAGAACAAGUAUCGGAGUAACUGCCGGUACCUUGACGGUACCUAACCAGAAAGCCACGGCUAACUACGUGCCAGCAGCCGCGGUAAUACGUAGGUGGCAAGCGUUGUCCGGAAUUAUUGGGCGUAAAGCGCGCGCAGGCGGUCUCUUAAGUCUGAUGUGAAAGCCCACGGCUCAACCGUGGAGGGUCAUUGGAAACUGGGGGACUUGAGUGCAGAAGAGGAAAGCGGAAUUCCACGUGUAGCGGUGAAAUGCGUAGAGAUGUGGAGGAACACCAGUGGCGAAGGCGGCUUUCUGGUCUGUAACUGACGCUGAGGCGCGAAAGCGUGGGGAGCAAACAGGAUUAGAUACCCUGGUAGUCCACGCCGUAAACGAUGAGUGCUAAGUGUUAGGGGGUUUCCGCCCCUUAGUGCUGCAGCUAACGCAUUAAGCACUCCGCCUGGGGAGUACGGCCGCAAGGC
This 873-nucleotide ribosomal RNA is filed under the name uncultured bacterium. Its description in RNAcentral is "bacterial SSU rRNA". It matches the Rfam family "Bacterial small subunit ribosomal RNA", at positions 39 to 894 of the family's 1533-position model. The record is from RNAcentral.